RNAcentral lists this ribosomal RNA (444 nucleotides) under uncultured bacterium. Its description in RNAcentral is "partial 16S ribosomal RNA". It matches the Rfam family "Bacterial small subunit ribosomal RNA", at positions 354 to 796 of the family's 1533-position model. The record is from RNAcentral.
GUAGGGAAUAUUGGGCAAUGGUCGGAAGACUGACCCAGCCAUGCCGCGUGCAGGAAGACGGCCCUCUGGGUUGUAAACUGCUUUUAUCUGGGAAGAAAAAGGCCAUGCGUGGCAAAUUGCCGGUACCAGAUGAAUAAGCACCGGCUAACUCCGUGCCAGCAGCCGCGGUAAUACGGAGGGUGCGAGCGUUGUCCGGAUUUAUUGGGUUUAAAGGGUGCGUAGGCGGCUGAUUAAGUCAGCGGUGAAAGACUUCGGCUUAACCGGAGCAGUGCCGUUGAUACUGGUUGGCUUGAGGGUCGGAGGGGUACAUGGAAUUGAUGGUGUAGCGGUGAAAUGCAUAGAUACCAUCAGGAACACCGAUAGCGAAGGCAUUGUACUGGCCGACAACUGACGCUGAUGCACGAAAGUGUGGGGAUCGAACAGGAUUAGAAACCCUAGUAGUCC